Molecule: small RNA, 127 nt
Filed under: Acanthamoeba polyphaga mimivirus
Lineage: Varidnaviria; Bamfordvirae; Nucleocytoviricota; Megaviricetes; Imitervirales; Mimiviridae
Also listed under: 1 other name
Description: uncharacterized ncRNA
Source: RNAcentral
AGUAUAGGUACUGCAAAUACCUAUACAAAUCUAUUUAUGGAAUAAAUUAGGAAAAUCAUUAACAGAAUCAGAUAAACCAUAUUUGAAGUCAAUAAUAUCCCUUAUCUGUUUAUUUACAGAUAAAGAA